This 253-nucleotide ribosomal RNA is filed under the name uncultured bacterium. RNAcentral's name for it is "partial 16S ribosomal RNA". It matches the Rfam family "Bacterial small subunit ribosomal RNA", at positions 524 to 776 of the family's 1533-position model. The record is from RNAcentral.
UACGAAGGGGACUAGCGUUGUUCGGAAUCACUGGGCGUAAAGCGCACGUAGGCGGAUGUGUCUGUCAGGGGUGAAAUCCCGGGGCUCAACCUCGGAACUGCCUUUGAUACAGCACGUCUCGAGUCCGGAAGAGGUGGGUGGAAUUCCUAGUGUAGAGGUGAAAUUCGUAGAUAUUAGGAAGAACACCGGUGGCGAAGGCGGCCCACUGGUCCGGUACUGACGCUGAGGUGCGAAAGCGUGGGGAGCAAACAGG